AUUGAACGCUGGCGGCAGGCCUAACACAUGCAAGUCGAACGGUAACAGGGAUCAGCUUGCUGAUUCGCUGACGAGUGGCGGACGGGUGAGUAAUGUCUGGGAAACUGCCUGAUGGAGGGGGAUAACUACUGGAAACGGUAGCUAAUACCGCAUAACGUCGCAAGACCAAAGAGGGGGACCUUCGGGCCUCUUGCCAUCGGAUGUGCCCAGAUGGGAUUAGCUAGUAGGUGGGGUAACGGCUCACCUAGGCGACGAUCCCUAGCUGGUCUGAGAGGAUGACCAGCCACACUGGAACUGAGACACGGUCCAGACUCCUAUGGGAGGCAGCAGUGGGGAAUAUUGCACAAUGGGCGCAAGCCUGAUGCAGCCAUGCCGCGUGUAUGAAGAAGGCCUUCGGGUUGUAAAGUACUUUCAGCGGGGAGGAAGGGAGUAAAGUUAAUACCUUGGCUCAUUGACGUUACCCGCAGAAGAAGCACCGGCUAACUCCGUG
RNAcentral lists this ribosomal RNA (490 nucleotides) under uncultured bacterium. Its description in RNAcentral is "partial 16S ribosomal RNA". It matches the Rfam family "Bacterial small subunit ribosomal RNA", at positions 30 to 507 of the family's 1533-position model. The record is from RNAcentral.